This 189-nucleotide ribosomal RNA is filed under the name Pseudomonas sp. LAMO17WK12:I5. RNAcentral's name for it is "23S rRNA. Bacterial LSU". It matches the Rfam family "Bacterial large subunit ribosomal RNA", at positions 2741 to 2925 of the family's 2925-position model. The record is from RNAcentral. Lineage: Bacteria; Pseudomonadati; Pseudomonadota; Gammaproteobacteria; Pseudomonadales; Pseudomonadaceae.
CCGGGUAGCUAUGUUCGGGAAAGAUAACCGCUGAAAGCAUCUAAGCGGGAAACUUGCCUCAAGAUGAGAUCUCACUGGAACCUUGAGUUCCCUGAAGGGCCGUCGAAGACUACGACGUUGAUAGGUUGGGUGUGUAAGCGCUGUGAGGCGUUGAGCUAACCAAUACUAAUUGCCCGUGAGGCUUGACCA